This 468-nucleotide ribosomal RNA is filed under the name uncultured bacterium. RNAcentral's name for it is "partial 16S ribosomal RNA". It matches the Rfam family "Bacterial small subunit ribosomal RNA", at positions 28 to 507 of the family's 1533-position model. The record is from RNAcentral.
GACGAACGCUGGCGGCGUGCUUAACACAUGCAAGUCGAACGGAAAGGCCCUGCUUUUGUGGGGUGCUCGAGUGGCGAACGGGUGAGUAACACGUGAGUAACCUGCCCUUGACUUUGGGAUAACUUCAUGAAACUGGGGCUAAUACCGGAUAGGAGCUCCUGCUGCAUGGUGGGGGUUGGAAAGUUUCGGCGGUUGGGGAUGGACUCGCGGCUUAUCAGCUUGUUGGUGGGGUAGUGGCUUACCAAGGCUUUGACGGGUAGCCGGCCUGAGGGGGUGACCGGCCACAUUGGGACUGAGAUACGGCCCAGACUCCUACGGGAGGCAGCAGUGGGGAAUAUUGCACAAUGGGCGGAAGCCUGAUGCAGCAACGCCGCGUGCGGGAUGACGGCCUUCGGGUUGUAAACCGCUUUCGCCUGUGACGAAGCGUGAGUGACGGUAAUGGGUAAAGAAGCACCGGCUAACUACGUG